Aegilops tauschii subsp. strangulata is the source of this 1896-nucleotide non-coding RNA. Lineage: Eukaryota; Viridiplantae; Streptophyta; Magnoliopsida; Poales; Poaceae. The record is from RefSeq and is a predicted model, not a curated record.
CUACAAUCUCAGGGUUUAUUUUAGACUUCACUCUCUCCCGAACGAGGUCCUGAUCCGCUCCUCCCCCUCUCCCGAGGAUACGCAGCCGCCGCCUUCGCCGGAUUCGCCGUCGUCGAUCUGCUGAUCCGGGCAGCGCAGCCGCCGCCGAUCUGCCUAUCCAGGCAGACGCGGCCGUCAUGGAUCACGAGAACACCGCGCCUCGAAUACGUUGCCCAUCACCACCACGAUGGCACCUCGCUGCUGCCACUCAGCAUGGAUGGCCGCCCCAAGACAUGGAUAAGCUCUCGUGAUCCCCACCCCACCCCUCUCAUCCACUGAAUCCAUAUCCUCCUUCCCGUCUUGAUCCCGCCCAUGAUCUGAUCAGGAAGCUGCCCACGGUCCGAUCCCCUGGUUUUUUAUCCAGUUAUCCACCUCUCGUCUCUCGUCUAGCAACCCCCAUCUUCGGUGUGGCGACGUUGCUGACGUCGCCGCGACCUCCCGCAAUUCUAGGCUCAGCCUUCCUCGACUCCAUGCGCGGCUGACGAGGUGGUCUUCGUCCAGAGGUGGUAUGCUCGUGCUCUCCUGGUCCUCCCGAAACGACGAGGGGUAGUGCCGGUCGUGGCUCAGCAGGAUAGCAUAGGCUUGCCCUUGUUCUUUUGUGUUUGAAUCAGAUUUGUUGGUUCUCAGUUUUACAUGCACCUAUCAAUCUUUCUUCUGUAUGCAGGUUACACACCUGAUGAUGUUUACGGCGAGGCGCAGGAACAAGCAGAGGCCGAGGAAGUGCGGGCACACGCGAGGAAGGUUCAGCGGGCUGCAGAAGUCGGGCCACGCCCGGAGCGCCGUGCCAACGCAUGUGUGCGUGGUCGGUGGGUUGGCCAAGAUCUGCAUUCUGCGACUUCGUCUUCACCAUGGACACAAGCAAGGACUGAUUCGUGGGUCUUGGUAGCAGUGCCGAGCAUCGGCGGAUCGAAGAGGUCGAGGUCGCGGUUAAUCGACCAGGACGAGACAUGCAUCUUGGAGCUAGCGCAGAGGGGGAAAGAAGCAGGUUGGUCUGGCCUGGCCUCGCAAAUGAAUUGAAACCUUGAUGCAAAAGGAAACUUCCUGAAGAAGAUAUUGAAAAUCCAACAUCACAGCAUAUAGGAGACUACUUAUUUUGGUCAUGCUGAUCGAUUGGCCUAUGAAACUUCUGCGACUUCGUAUUCACCAUGGACACAAGCAAGGACUGAUUCGUGGGUCUUGGUAGCGGUGCCGAGCAUCGGUGGAUCGAAGUGGUCGAGGUCGCGGUUAAUCGACCAGGACGAGACAUGCAUCUUGGAGCUAGCGCAGAGGGGGAAAGAAGCAGGUUGGUCUGGCCCGGCCUCGCAAAUGAAUUGGUUCCAAAGUUUGACUGUAGCUAGCUUGAUUUGGAGACAUUUCAUGUUAGGACUUAAACUUUGGUACCUUUGUUACUUGGUAUUCCCCUGUCAGCGUUCAGGAGUCGGGUAGUUGUGGAGUGGGUCGUGGGAGAGACCGUCGGCGAGAGCGGGCUGGAUGGGAAGGUGAUGCCUGCGAUGGCGAACAUGCCGGCGAGCAGGGAAGGGUUGACCAUGGCCAUUGCGCAGCUGAAGAAGUCGAAGCCUGGGGCGAGGUUGGCCACCGUGGCCGAUGUGAAAGCUGACGGACCUAAAGGCUGGUGACAGGUUCACCGCCAUCGCAGUCUCUGAACUUGGUGGAGACGCGGAAGGAGAGCGGUGGCGCCGUGAAGACCUCAACGUUUGCUGCCGCGGCCAUGACCAUGAUCAUGACCAUUGUGUUGGUAACAAAUAUACUAAUUGUAUACAUAUCCCCCAGCUUAGGAAACAUUAGAUAAAUAUCCAACUUAUUAUUGAAAAAGCUUGAUUCAAAAUAAAUGGAACCUUUCCUAUAUACAAUGAGCUU